GAUUCAGGAGACUUGUACACGGUCCAGUGCGGAAAACGCUUCUCCAGACUACAACUCGGACGGCCAACGGCACGCCAGAUUUUAAAUUUGAGCUCUUCCCGCUUCACUCGCAGUUACUAGGGGAAUCCUUGUUAGUUUCUUUUCCUCCGCUUAUUGAUAUGCUUAAGUUCAGCGGGUAGUCCUACCUGACUUGAGAUCAAAUGUUCAUGCAUCCGUCCACCGUAAAGGCAGGGGAAGAUGGUUAUAAGCUGGCAGCAUCCCACGUUCCUGCAGGAGAUUUCUGCCGUGACCCAUGGGGUAGAUUGCUUAUCACACCAUAGAAGCCAACGACGUCCACUGACCGGCUAAUGAAUUCAAGAGGAGCCAGCUUCAACAGCUGGCAAGAGGCCUCCAAAAUCCAAGCCCACACCGUGGCUGUAAAAAGCCUGGGUGGGUUGAGAUGUUCAUGAUACUCAAACAGGCAUGCCCUUUGGAAUACCAAAGGGCGCAAGUUGCGUUCAAAGAUUCGAUGAUUCACUGAAUUCUGCAAUUCACAUUACUUAUCGCAUUUCGCUGCGUUCUUCAUCGAUGCGAGAGCCAAGAGAUCCGUUGCUGAAAGUUGUUUUAUUACUCUGCGCUCACAUGCGCCAAGUUGACGUUCUGUACAGAGGGUGUUUAUAAAGAGACGUAGCACCAGAUCAUGAGGGGCCUCAGAGACCCUCCCCCAAUCAGGGCACUACAAAGGGUGCACAGGUGUGAAUGGAUGUGAGGAGGGCGUGCACAUGCGAUCUCAGAUGUGAGAAGGCCAGCAACAGCCCCCCUUCAACAAUUCAAUAAUGAUCCUUCCGCAGGUUCACCUACGGAAACCUUGUUACGACUUUUACUUCCUCUAAAAUGACCAAGAAU
Molecule: unclassified non-coding RNA, 885 nt
Filed under: uncultured fungus
Lineage: Eukaryota; Fungi
Description: partial contains 18S rRNA, ITS1, 5.8S rRNA, ITS2, 28S rRNA
Source: RNAcentral